UAAUUAAAAAUUAUAGUAUGUAUAGUGAUAACUUGGAAAUAAAAACAGAACUACCAAGUAAUCAGAAAAUCCACUCUUUAAUCAGGAAAAAGGGAUAGGCUCAUCACUUAGCCACCACACAGAACCAAAGACUCUGGGAAUAGUAUCCCUGAGAGAAGACACAGCUCCUACUGUGCACUCUGAAGAGAUACUGAAUCUAAGACUCUCAUUAUACCCUUUUGGAAAACCUACAGAGACUAAUGACAAACAGGACUUUGCAAGAGGCCUUAUUCUUAUAGUCCAGCAAGGAGUUAUUCUUCAGAGGAACGUCAUAAGAACUCUAGCAAAGGAGAAAAGAAAAGAAUUGCUGCACAACCAGGAGUUUUGGCCUGCCACUGUGAGAGGUGGUGGUGGUGGCUCCAGCUCCUAGAGCAGGAAGGGGACAGCGACAGUGACAGAAAAGAAGAGACUUGAGCUUCUGUAAUCAACAGUAGGAGACUGAGAGACUGUCUUAAAGUUCAACAAAUGUAUUCUAUACUUGAAAUCUGCUGCUUUUUUCUAUCACCACCUCGUUUAGAGAUCGGAUUUCUUAAAUAAAAGGUUAAAAAGAAAUUAAAGGUAUAAGAAG
Molecule: long non-coding RNA, 607 nt
Filed under: Monodelphis domestica (gray short-tailed opossum)
Lineage: Eukaryota; Metazoa; Chordata; Mammalia; Didelphimorphia; Didelphidae
Description: lncRNA (ENSMODG00000037840.1)
Source: RNAcentral